UCCGAGUUGACCCCGGCAGUCUCCUAUGAGUCCCCGACAUUACUCGCUGGCAACAUAGGACGAGGGUUGCGCUCGUUGCGGGACUUAACCCAACAUCUCACGACACGAGCUGACGACAACCACGCACCACCUGUAAACCGACCGCAAGCGGGGCACCUGUCUCCAGGCGUUUCCGGUAUAUGUCAAACCCAGGUAAGGUUCUUCGCGUCGCAUCGAAUUAAAGAACAUGCUCCGCUGCUUGUGCGGGCCCCCGUCAAUUCUUUUGAGUUUUAGCCUUGCGGCCGUACUCCCCAGGCGGAACACUUAUCGCGUUGGCUUCGGCACAGACAGAUUCGACUCCGCCCACACCUAGUGUUCAUCGUUUACGGCGUGGACUAC
Molecule: unclassified non-coding RNA, 378 nt
Filed under: uncultured Actinomycetes bacterium
Lineage: Bacteria; Bacillati; Actinomycetota; Actinomycetes
Description: uncultured actinobacterium contains 16S-23S intergenic spacer region
Source: RNAcentral